Long non-coding RNA from Hyaena hyaena (striped hyena), 671 nucleotides. RefSeq lists it as uncharacterized. The record is from RefSeq and is a predicted model, not a curated record. The transcript is spliced from 5 exons. NCBI's taxonomy places the organism in Eukaryota, Metazoa, Chordata, Mammalia, Carnivora, Hyaenidae.
CAUGAGUACUCCAGCACUGGCAUUCCUGAUUCCUGUUCAACUUUCCUGUGUCAUGCUUCCUGAACCCAUUUCACCUUUAUACUCUUGAGAUUCACAGAAGACCCCAAGGAGCUUUAGCUUCAGAUAUCCAUCCCACCCGACUUUCAUGUUAUCGCAACGUCUUCAAUGAAACAGGAAUAAAUAUUGAUAGAAAAACAACACAGGAACAAAGAAUUUGAAGGAAACAGAGCAACUUCUCCUAAGAAAAAUGGACAUUCACACAGAAAACCUCAAAUUCAUACAAACUUCAGAAAGCUUUUAAGUUUCCAGAUUAAACUCCAGUACUUUAGAUGAAGAAGAAGCAUGGGCUUAAGUUGGAGAGAGCUUACUCUGUUCCAGUGGUGACUUCAAGCUGUGCCUGAUCUGUAGAAGGUGACUUUGGCCACUCCUGGCAGGCCAGAAGUGGCAACAGAAGUGAAAUCUCCAUCUCAGGAGCAGAUUGAAUGAAGUUGAUAUGUAUGCACCCCAGCAAACUCCCCCCCUACAGCGGAAUGACUCUGAAACAUCGGUUUUGCAGCAUUUCCCUAUUACAGCAAGAUUACGCUUCAGUCACCCUGCCUUCCUGCCUCUCUAUCGGUUCCUCAUUUCCUUACUUAUUCUUUGUACUCCCAAAUAAACUAUCAGCACAUCAA